CGGGGCGUGGCGCAGCCCGGUUAGCGCACUUGACUGGGGGUCAAGGGGUCGUCAGUUCAAAUCUGACCGCCCCGA
Molecule: transfer RNA, 75 nt
Filed under: bacterium
Lineage: Bacteria
Also listed under: 1 other name
Description: tRNA-Pro
Rfam family: tRNA
About the family: Transfer RNA (tRNA) molecules are approximately 80 nucleotides in length. Their secondary structure includes four short double-helical elements and three loops (D, anti-codon, and T loops). Further hydrogen bonds mediate the characteristic L-shaped molecular structure. tRNAs have two regions of fundamental functional importance: the anti-codon, which is responsible for specific mRNA codon recognition, and the 3' end, to which the tRNAs corresponding amino acid is attached (by aminoacyl-tRNA synthetases). tRNAs cope with the degeneracy of the genetic code in two manners: having more than one tRNA (with a specific anti-codon) for a particular amino acid; and 'wobble' base-pairing, i.e. permitting non-standard base-pairing at the 3rd anti-codon position.
Source: RNAcentral